UACGUAGGGCGCAAGCGUUAUCCGGAAUUAUUGGGCGUAAAGAGCUCGUAGGCGGUUUGUCGCGUCUGCCGUGAAAGUCCGGGGCUCAACUCCGGAUCUGCGGUGGGUACGGGCAGACUAGAGUGAUGUAGGGGGAGACGUGGAAUUCCUGGUGUAGCGGUGAAAUGCGCAGAUAUCAGGAGGAACACCGAUGGCGAAGGCAGGUCUCUGGGCAUUAACUGACGCUGAGGAGCGAAAGCAUGGGGAGCGAACAGG
This 255-nucleotide ribosomal RNA is filed under the name uncultured bacterium. Its description in RNAcentral is "partial 16S ribosomal RNA". It matches the Rfam family "Bacterial small subunit ribosomal RNA", at positions 524 to 776 of the family's 1533-position model. The record is from RNAcentral.